GACAAGAGGAGCAUUUCUAUCAGUGCCUUUGUAUUCCAAGGAGGAGACUCCGCAUGAGCAGACCCGCUCCCUGCCUGGAAGGGACUCAGCGCUAGGAUCCUAGAGCUGUGGGCCAGCACAAGCCACGUUAUGAAGUGUUUGAAGUUACCAUUUGAAGCAUCUCCGGAAUCCAUGAUGUGCUUUGCAAGCUUUGGCAUAAAAUUAGCCUAAAACUGGCUAAGGUGCAGACUGCAGAAAGGGAGGUUUGGGUACCUUUCAGCAUCGGGAAUGUUCGGAAAAAAAAAUAAUCAACAAACAGGUUUUAAAACACAUAGAAAGAAAAGGUGUUUUUCCACCCAAACCAAGAUUCAUAUAGUAACCUCACAAACUUGAAUGUGUUAUUUACAUAACUACCUCACUGGGUGACCAAAGACAGGUACACAGUUCCAGCUAUGCAUCACAGCAGGGUGUACAUAAGAUUUUUUUUCCAUCAGUGAUUCAGCGACUGAAUGGAUUCACUAGCUAAUAGCCAGGUAUGUCACUUGAUGAGAAGCUUUUUGCUUGUCCAGGUGAAGCCCUAACUGACAAACUUGCACUGAAAUAGUUACUUUACUGGUGCAAAGACCUUACAACUUAUGCAAGAUUUCAAAAGCAACUCUCCAGUGCUAGCAGGCACAUAAAAGAAAUUAGAGGACAUUUAAAGGAAGGGCCAUUGCAGAGCAGAUAAUAAUUACUAAUCUUGAUUUUUUAAACACCUCUGUCAAGUCUCCUCUCAUGCUGUACACUCUAACUACCAUGGACAGCAAGAACCUGGUGGGACAGUUGCAAGCUAAUCUGUGCCAGGGGAGACAAAGCACUGUUGAGUAACCUUAGAAACUUUUUCCCUAGUGACUGUCUCCACAUCACUGCUGAUCCCUGCUGAAACAACAUACCUGAGAGGACAGCAGGAAAGACCCUAUAGAGGCACAGAAACUGAAAAUGCAGCUUUUGUACAGAGAAGUGUUUACACAAGGUGCUGCUUAUAAAAAAGUCGUCAGGAAUGAACUGCAUCGGUUAUUAGUCCAUCCCAGGAAGAGGGAAGAACCUGAAGACAAUGGGAGGCUGCUUGGCUGGGGACUUCUUACAUUUUAACUCAGUUGAGCUCAAUGUCUGCCAGAGCACCCCAAGACCACCCCGCCGGAGAAGCAAAGUUCACCCUCACCUCGGCUGCCAUUUCGGAUGACGUUUUGCUCGUUUGCGCAGCGAUCCCGGCAACUGGUGCAACCUGUGGAACAGCGAGAAGACUCUGCUGCCACCCUGACUGGUGUCAGCCAAAGAGCAAGCCUGGAAGCCUCCUGCCCCAGCAAGGCCAAGGCCCUGGAUAUGGAAAAGGACUUACAUGGCAGCGCGUUCCACCAGGGUCUUAAUGAGCUGCAG
Long non-coding RNA from Grus americana (Whooping crane), 1395 nucleotides. RefSeq lists it as uncharacterized. The record is from RefSeq and is a predicted model, not a curated record. The transcript is spliced from 4 exons. Lineage: Eukaryota; Metazoa; Chordata; Aves; Gruiformes; Gruidae.